AGACAAUAAAUUUUGGCUAUAGGUAACGAAUACACAUAAAACUAAAUUGCAUUACACCCAUACUAAGAUAGAACAUACGUUGUUACGUCAUUCAUAAGUUCUAGUACAAACAUAAUUCGAUUAACAAGUUCAACCCAAUAAAACUAAUCAAGUGGCCUCCUUUGUUUUCCCGUUUCCUUCCGAACUUCCGUUUCCCUUGCGGAAAGUAAUGUUCAAGUUAAUCUCUACAUCUCGUUCGUAGGAUAUUCAAGCUAGAGUUUCGAACAUUCUUGGCAAAUCUUCGACUUCCUCAUUUGCCGCAACAUUAAGCGCUUCAUUAAUGGUACUCGAUUCUCCGCUUGACUCUCCUUGUUCGACCCAUUCGAAAAAUCCACAUUUCUUACUGCAUGUGUUGAAUAAUCGCCCUUUGUUACACGUCUACUUUUCAACCUCAAAAUUUUUCUGAAAUCCAUGUGCACACCUUGGGCAACAACGUUUUCUGGGGCAUUCAUCGAAAAAAUGUCCAUUGCUUCUACAACUGUGACAAAUUUCAGCAUUCCUUCCUUUCAUAUCCUUAGAUGGAAAACAAGCACAUAAAUCAG
This 581-nucleotide long non-coding RNA is filed under the name Olea europaea subsp. europaea. Lineage: Eukaryota; Viridiplantae; Streptophyta; Magnoliopsida; Lamiales; Oleaceae. The record is from RNAcentral.